AAAUGGAAAACAUGUUUUAACGAUUUUCUCCUACAAAACCUAACACGCUACUGUGAAGCCACUGCCGCCGUUUCCCUUAACCAUUUCCUUUCUCCAUUUUGAAGCCAUGAUCGUCGUUGUCGCCAUCGCUUACGGGCUGUGAUAUUAUUAAUUUCUAGUUCAGUUCAUACUUCAAUCUUGCACGGCUGUUGUAAGUAAAUGUCAAGAGAGAUGCAUCAAGUGGUAGAAGAGGAAGAUGAGGAACGUCGUCGUCAAAGGAAGAUGGAAGAGGUUCUUGAAGUCAAAUCCCUUAGACGUAUUAUCAGUGCCUAUCUCAACUAUCCAGAUGCUGCAGAAGAGGAUGUAAAAAGAUAUGAAAGAUCUUUCAAAAAGCUUCCGCCUGCACACAAGGCUUUACUAUCCCACUAUCCUUCGAAGUUUCAGAGACUGAGAAGGUGUAUUUCUAUGAACUCUCACUUUAUAUAUAACAUGCUUGAGGCAUUUGAACCUCCCCUGGAUAUGAGCCAAGACAUGGAUGGUUGUGAGGACUCACACCAUGAACAUGCCCUGAAUGAUCAUCUCUUCUCUAGUGAGGGGAAUUGCUGCCCCAGUCAGUCUGCCUCAACGACUGGAAUGUGUUGUUCCAAACCUGGUGGAGCCUGUUGUGGACAAGGGAACAAUACAAUAUGCAGGUCAUCAGAUAGGGUGACUACUGAUGAGGAGGUGCAAAUUGAAGGUUGCUGUGAGCCUGCUACUGGGAGCCAUCUGGCAAACUUGCAAAAUAGCCAAUCAACAGUUGAACUUGCCAAAAUAUGUUGCUCUGAUUCCAAUGGAAAUGUUGCCUUGUCGCAUCAUGAUUGCCUGGAUCCAUUAGUCCGGUUUAAUGUUCCCUUGGUUGAUGUUGAUAAGGGUCAGAUAUGAUUGACAUGGCUGCUCAACCUGAUGUUAUUAUGUUUUGGUGCCAUACUUGCAAAUUUGGGUUCAGAAAAAUUGACAAAAAUAGGGGAGAAAUGUGCAUUUGGCUGAUGAAGAUAUUUAACAAAAAAUACUAAUGCAUUGCCAUUAUUUUUGUAUGCUAACAUGGAGCCAUCAACAAAACUAAGCCUUUAAGGCUUAAGCCCAACAUUUCAUAGCAGCAAUAGUCUUAAUAUUAAUACACUUUAUUACAGCAUUUCUGUGUUCUGUCCCAACUCAUAACAUUUGACCAUCAUUUAUGAUAUUAAUGCCCCUAUUAUGAUUUAUGUCUAGUGAUGUACCAUGUUCCUGUUCCAUGUGCCAGGAUAAUAUGUUGAAUGCUCAAACUUAGGCUUUUUAGGAAAUUCACCCAUCCCAGGAAGAGGAAAAGAGAUCCUUAAUUGGACAUUUUGCUCACUUAUGUUGUUAAUUAGUCAACAGCUCUAGGUAAUCACAUUUAGGAGGGUUGGUUCAAGCUUCAAACUAUACAAACAAAAAGUACCAUGGAGUUGCAAGCCAUUGGAUAUGCUAGCUUUCUUGUCAUGUGUGUUCCACAUGUAUUUUUUGUGACUUUAUAACUCAUGAAUAUAUAAAUUUUUAUAAUAAAAUAAUUUUUUGUAUUUAGAUUAUACUUAUUAAUGUAAAAUGUAGAUAUAUAAAUAGUAGAAUUAUCAAUUAUAGGGUCAGAAGAAAUUUUAUAAUGAAAACAUUAAAUACAAAUCAAAUUUAUAAGAUUUAUCAAGUUUAUGGUCUAACAUGAAUCAUUAUUUUGAUUAUAUAACUUUCUCAAUAAAUUAGAUUAAUUUAUUAACAAAACAAAAUUUAAGAAAUUAAUAUUGAUAAUGCUCUUAACUGAAGAAGUAAAAAACUAUAAAGAAAAAUAAUCUACAAAGGUUUCACAAGGGAAAAAAAGGCCAAAACUGAAAUCACAAAAUAAAUGAGUCAUAUAUUUAGUUAUAAUUUAUCACUUUGUUGGUGUUAAAAUAAAUUUCUUUGUACAAAAGUUGUAUAAUGUAUCACUUUUCAAUUUAGAAAAAUGAUAACAUUAUCAUUUUCAAAGAAAUUGGAUGUUGUAUGAUAGUGAAGUACAUGUUUUAAAAAAUGAAAGUAAACAAUGAGCAAUAAUAGCUAUAUAAAAAUAUCAAUUUUUUUUUUAAAUUAAUAAUGGUAAUGUAUCUGGCAGGUUUCGGGUAUCAAUUUUUUAAAAUAAACUUUUAGAGUUUCUGUGAACCUAUUAUUUUGUAAUCAACAAACAACAAAAAUUAUAUUAAUUGUUAUCAAAUUAUGCAGUAUAAAAU
This 2231-nucleotide unclassified non-coding RNA is filed under the name Hevea brasiliensis (rubber tree). Lineage: Eukaryota; Viridiplantae; Streptophyta; Magnoliopsida; Malpighiales; Euphorbiaceae. The record is from RNAcentral.